Schistosoma haematobium is the source of this 38-nucleotide non-coding RNA. The record is from Rfam. Lineage: Eukaryota; Metazoa; Platyhelminthes; Trematoda; Strigeidida; Schistosomatidae.
UGCUGAGGAGUCCCACAAUAGGACGAAACGGCCGUUCA